AGCUCGUGUCGUGAGAUGUGGGUUAAGUCCCGCAACGAGCGCAACCCUUAUCCCCAGUUGCCAUCAGGUAAAGCUGGGAACUCUGGGGAGACUGCCGGUGAUAACCGGAGGAAGGCGGGGAUGACGUCAAGUCCUCAUGGCCCUUACAUCCCGGGCUACACACGUGCUACAAUGGCAGGUACAGAGGGCUGCGAAGCCGCGAGGUGGAGCGAAUCCCAGAAAACCUGUCUCAGUCCGGAUUGAAGUCUGCAACUCGACUUCAUGAAGGCGGAAUCGCUAGUAACCGCGAAUCAGCAGGUCGCGGUGAAUACGUUCCCGGGCCUU
This 324-nucleotide ribosomal RNA is filed under the name uncultured Latescibacterota bacterium. RNAcentral's name for it is "bacterial SSU rRNA". It matches the Rfam family "Bacterial small subunit ribosomal RNA", at positions 1057 to 1382 of the family's 1533-position model. The record is from RNAcentral. Lineage: Bacteria; Pseudomonadati; Candidatus Latescibacterota.